AUACUCUGGUUUCUCUUCAAAAUCAUAUAAAUCUUUCACCUUUUGCUAAAGAUUUCUGUGGAGAGGAACAAUUCUGAGUCUUAAUCCAAUUUUUUGAGGCCCUGUUUCUGCGGGGCU
This is a small nuclear RNA of Saimiri boliviensis boliviensis (Bolivian squirrel monkey), 117 nucleotides long. RefSeq annotates it as U5 spliceosomal RNA. The record is from RefSeq and is a predicted model, not a curated record. NCBI's taxonomy places the organism in Eukaryota, Metazoa, Chordata, Mammalia, Primates, Cebidae.